CAGUGUUGGUGGACAAAUGAGCUUACUUGAAGAAGGGGGGAUCUGAACGUGAUGAAAAGGUUAUUUUGUUCCAUUUUCCUUAUAAGCAUCCAUAUCUUUUGCUCCCUUCGUUGUACCUUCAACAACCAUGUUCAUUGUGUCGGGUUUGUAUCAUUUCCACCUAUCUUCUCACUCUUAAACCAUUUGGCUGGGUCGAUGUUUUAUUAAUAGAUACAAUUGAACUUGCAUCGUAUCUCAAACUAUGUCCCUAAUACGCCAGCCCACCCGUGCGUAUAUUAAGUGAAAACUGGGAUUAUGUCAAGUUUUCAAUGGUAUGAUCGGCUUGUAUCUUGCUGUCAUCGAAGUUAAGACAUGGCUCCGGGGCAGGUUAGCUUUUGUCUAUUCUCUGUAAUUUCUACCUGUUUUUCCUACCCCGUGUAUAUGCUAGAGUGCAGAGUAUGCUUGCUUAUCCGUUCGGUGGAUACUUUAUAUGCAGAAGAUAAAGAUUGACUAUCAUCUUCACUUAGUUGUAGAUACUAAAUAGUUGGUAUAAAAUUAUGAUAAUUUAAAAGAAGUAUUAUGGUGUGGUGCAGUAAUAAUUUUAAAUUUUAAAACUCGACACCUUGCAUCAUACUUUUGUUGCAAAUGGGGGCAGUGUGUUCAAGUUGCUCUGGAACAAUUUGAAGGGUUUCGUUGACACAAAAUCUUCAGCCAAGAUUCACUGCAUAGAAGUUUAAAUUGUAGUUGUUUCAGGUGCUUUGCCACAUUCAGUAUGCUUUGUUCUGUAUGCAUCAUUUAUUUGAUCCUAAUCUAUUUCAAAUGGAAAUGUUUCAUUGCUAAUUAAGGUUCAUUUAUUUGAUCCUAAUCUAUUUCCAUCCAGUACAUUUAUGCCUCAGGAUGGAAAUGUUCCUUGGCACCAUGACAAACAUUGGUGGAGUAACAAUCUGUUUUGUUGCUGUCGCUUAUGUAUUUUCGCUGCCACAAAGAUUACUUGGACACAGAGUCACAGUGUGUUAGAAAAUGAUUACAUUUUCCUUUUGUAACCUGAUGGUGUUAGACUGUUAGUAACAUCUCAGCAGUAGGGCGGGAUUAGCUAGCCCUUUCUUGGAUAUGUUUCCCAUAUAGUGUGUGGGGUCGACUAUUCAUACUUGG
RNAcentral lists this long non-coding RNA (1131 nucleotides) under Hordeum vulgare. Its description in RNAcentral is "long non-coding RNA (HVUL_LNC014478)". The record is from RNAcentral. Lineage: Eukaryota; Viridiplantae; Streptophyta; Magnoliopsida; Poales; Poaceae.